Molecule: microRNA precursor, 192 nt
Filed under: Olea europaea subsp. europaea
Lineage: Eukaryota; Viridiplantae; Streptophyta; Magnoliopsida; Lamiales; Oleaceae
Description: MIR159 microRNA precursor family
Rfam family: MIR159 microRNA precursor family
Source: Rfam by way of RNAcentral
GAGAGAGCUGAAGAGCUCCUUUCAAUCCAAUGUGGAGGGCCAAGGAGUGGUUAGAGCUGCCAUCUCAUGCAUUUGGUUAUGCUUAAUGUGGAGAUUUUGAGGGUUAAGUUUAACAAGUGCAUGAUAUGGGAGCAACUCUUCCGUUUGCUUCGCCUGUUAAUUGGAUUGAAGGGAGCUCUCAGCGAUCACUUC